ACUCGGGCACGAUCCAUGAUGUGUGGAACCGACCCGUAGUUUCAAUCCUGAGGGA
This is a regulatory RNA element of Corynebacterium efficiens YS-314, 55 nucleotides long. It matches the Rfam family "L31-Corynebacteriaceae ribosomal protein leader". NCBI's taxonomy places the organism in Bacteria, Bacillati, Actinomycetota, Actinomycetes, Mycobacteriales, Corynebacteriaceae. The record is from Rfam.